This 500-nucleotide ribosomal RNA is filed under the name uncultured bacterium. Its description in RNAcentral is "partial 16S ribosomal RNA". It matches the Rfam family "Bacterial small subunit ribosomal RNA", at positions 30 to 523 of the family's 1533-position model. The record is from RNAcentral.
AUUGAACGCUGGCGGAAUGCUUUACACAUGCAAGUCGAACGGCAGCACGGACUUCGGUCUGGUGGCGAGUGGCGAACGGGUGAGUAAUGUAUCGGAACGUGCCCAGUCGUGGGGGAUAACGUAGUGAAAAUUACGCUAAUACCGCAUACGAUCUAUGGAUGAAAGCGGGGGAUCGCAAGACCUCGCGCGAUUGGAGCGGCCGAUAUCAGAUUAGGUAGUUGGUGGGGUAAAGGCGCACCAAGCCAACGAUCUGUAGCUGGUCUGAGAGGACUACCAGCCACACGGGAACUGAGACACGGUCCAGACUCCUACGGGAGGCAGCAGUGGGGAAUUUUGGACAAUGGGCGAAAGCCUGAUCCAGCCAUUCCGCGUGCAGGAUGAAGGCCCUCGGGUUGUAAACUGCUUUUGUACAGAACGAAAAGGUUUCUACUAAUACUAGGAGCUCAUGACGGUACUGUAAGAAUAAGCACCGGCUAACUACGUGCCAGCCGCCGCCGUAA